Pimephales promelas (fathead minnow) is the source of this 716-nucleotide long non-coding RNA. RefSeq lists it as uncharacterized. Lineage: Eukaryota; Metazoa; Chordata; Actinopteri; Cypriniformes; Leuciscidae. The record is from RefSeq and is a predicted model, not a curated record.
AUUAAGACUAGAUGUUUAUUUGGUAAUGACACAUUUAAGCAAACCCUACUCUAUAUUUCUGACAGAGUCUCAGACGUGUUCUCUCUGCUCUUCAGCUCUGUGAACCUGUGAAACAUCUAAUCCAAUUUCAAGGUCCUUUUUCAUCAAGAACUAAUGACAAUCUUCUGUCUCCAGUGAUCACAGCGGCAUCUAAUGGGGAUUCAUCGAUUUGGCACCGCUCAAGAGACAACUUUAUUAUGAAUCUCAGUAAAUCAAUGCAGAAGAAAUGGAUAGAAUUAGAUCCCACCGUUAACUGAUAUAAAAUUCAUAGAAAAUUAGGUGCAGAACAGCAAACAGCCGUGUCUAUGGCAACAUGCUGAGUUAUGAAAGAAAUCGCUCACCUUUGUGGAGGAUACAACAACAACAACACAGCUGGCUCAGAGGGGACUUGUGGGAUGGUCCCAGUCGCACAAAGAGAGAAAUGUGGAGCAGUUUGGGAAACAACGUCACAAUGACUCCAUCUUCUGGUGAACACCCAGUACUGGGAUUUUAGCAGUCAUUCUGCAACUGGUGAAGAGGGUUAUUAUUAUGCUUAAAUUAUUAAAAAGAUUUAAAUAUAAACCAGCCUGACUGCAAACUUUUGAACGGUAUUGUAAAUAUUCCAUGUAGUGUCAACUAAUACUAAUUCAAUAAUAAUGCAAUUGUUAAGAAAUCCUGAUUAUGUUCGGAAUUUAAUG